AGUGAACGCUGGCGGUAGGCCUAACACAUGCAAGUCGAACGGCAGCACAGUAAGAGCUUGCUCUUACGGGUGGCGAGUGGCGGACGGGUGAGGAAUACAUCGGAAUCUACUUUUUCGUGGGGGAUAACGUAGGGAAACUUACGCUAAUACCGCAUACGACCUACGGGUGAAAGCAGGGGAUCUUCGGACCUUGCGCGAUUGAAUGAGCAGAUGUCGGAUUAGCGAGUUGGCGGGGAAAAGGCCCACAAAGGCGACGAUCCGUAGCUGGUCUGAGAGGAUGAUCAGCCACACUGGAACUGAGACACGGUCCAGACCCCUACGGGAGGAAGCAGUGGGGAAUUUUGGACAAUGGGGGCAAGCCUGCUCCAGCCAUACCGCGUGGGUGAAGAAGUCUUUCGGGUUGUAAAGCCCUUUUGUUGGGAAAGAAAAGCAGCAGGUUAAUACCCCGCUGUUCUGACGGUACCCAAAGAAUAAGCACCGGCUAACUUCGUG
Molecule: ribosomal RNA, 492 nt
Filed under: uncultured bacterium
Lineage: Bacteria
Description: partial 16S ribosomal RNA
Rfam family: Bacterial small subunit ribosomal RNA
Source: RNAcentral